GGUUCGCAUUGGGUGUGCCAAGGUGACGUGCAACAAUAAUAAAGGAACUUUCAUAGGGUGCAACUAUGACCCCCCAGGCAACUUUGUUGGGGAGAAACCUUACUGAAUAUUAUAUAUAAAAAUAAAGCUUUGUAUGAUUAAGUAGCUUGCAACAAAUGCAUGGAUGAAUAAGGUUUCAAUUUGAUGGUUAUUAACUGACGAAUUUGAAUAACCAAAAAUAAAUGAAAAUGAUUAAAUUUUAUGUUAAUUUUUGGAUGCUUCCCAGAAUAUCACAUUUGAUAUAAUUUCCUUAUUUCAGCAAUUUCUUAAUUUUUGUUGCAUCUUUAAUUAGAUCAAAUGUUGUCUUGAAAUAACUUUUGCCCAAAGCGACAUUGUUUUCAAAUGAUUACUAUAAUCUGGAAAUUGCAAUUGAUAUUAAGGCCCUAUUUAGCAUUGAGGUGCUGUAAUUUUAAACUACAGUUGCUAUAGAAAAAAAAAACUGUAACUAUAAAAUAAAAGAUAAUAGUGUGUACUAAAUACAAAAUUUUAAUGAUAAUUUUGACAAAAUUAUCAAUGAUAUAAUAUAUUUUUCAUCACACAAGUGUAAAAUCAAACUAAUUUAGCUUCUAAGAUACAACAACUAGUAUUUUACCAAACAUUUUAAUACUGUAGCUUUUAAGCUAUAGUUGUUCAACCUUAAUCCCAGACAGGGACUAAGUCUUGAAUUAUUAAAUAAUAAUGGUAUAUACCACAGCUGGGGCUUUAGUGAUAUUUAGCAGAGUGAGACUUCUUUGAAAUUUUAUCACUAGAGCUACACUUUGGCACUUAUUAAGUAUAGUCGGUAUGCUAUUGUAAAUAAGUUUUGGAUAACUCUUAUUUCAUGAGCUAACUUUUGAGUAUGAGUUAGCCUGAUGAACUUCAAAUGCUAUUAGAGCCAACUCAUAAUACACAAUUAGGGUCUAUACUACCUUUCCAUGAGACUAUAGAAAAGAAGAAAAAAAUAUUGGCUUGCAUGUGACAAGAAAUAUUUUGUAAGCUAAGUAUAUUCAUUUGGAGUAAGUAACCCUCCACUUAUGAGAUAAUUUUUAGUUAUGAGUUUGAACCAUGAAUUUCUACACUAUAUAUUAGACUGAUAUGGUGAUUUUGGUCGAGUUAGCUUGCUAGGACGUUUUAAAUGAUAUAUUUGAACAAAGGGUAACUGGUUUAUUCUAUGAAAAUUAAAAAUUAUUAGUGAAUUUCGUGUUUCAAAAGCUACUAAUUUUUGAAACACCAUGUGGAGAAAGAUAUAUAUCGUCACCUUUGCCUAACUUGUAUAUAUAAAAGACUAUGUUGAUGCGAGAUUCCGGUUCUCCUCGUUCCACGACCAGGAUCUCUGCUCGAUCAACUUCACCACGACUAGGAGGUCUCCUAGUAAUGCUUCUUCUCCGGAUGUCCCUGCACAAACAGACAAGUCAGAGUACGCCGGUUGUUCCCCCGGCGCAAACCCUCCGACGCUCAAGUCAGAUAUGAAGGUUCAGGGAACUCUUGCCACAGGUCUUAUGGCUUUUUCGUGGUUUUUUUCUUCUAUCUCAAAAAUGCCAACCUUUUUACCUUCGUUGGCUACCUUUUUAUAGGCUUCCUCUGAAUCUCAGUCUUCCGCCCUUUUGUCAGACGGUAUGGGACUCCAACUGCUGCGUUAUGGGCAAACGUGGGAUCUAGCGUGUUACGCCACGGUUCAGGGGAAAGCGUGGCUGUCAUGGCUCUGUGAGACUUUGCGUGUUACGCCACGGUUCUGGGGAAAGCGUGGUUGUCAUGGUUCUGUGAGAUCUUGCGUGUUACGCCACGGUUCUGGGGAGAGCGUGGCUGUUGUGCCUAGAUUCUCGUGCUGGAGAGCACGUCUUGCCAACUGCCGUCGACCGGGUCUCCUCGCCGCUUGACCUCUAGCCGGAAUGGCCUUAUGCCUUUUAUAGGGAAUUGGCCUCGCGGAUGACAACAUCGUGGACGAGCAGGAUAUUUCUGCUCCUGUUCUUCCGCGCACCAGGCUUUUACGGAACACACCGGUUCGCAGAACUCCGCCAUCAGAUAUUAGUAUCUCUCCCAAACAGACUAUAUUCCAUUGGUUGCCUAAUUUUAUUGAUAUUAAUAACUUAUAUUUCCUUCCAAGCAAGUCUAAGUCAUGAAUUGAAAAAAAAAAAAAAAGUUUUGCGGGUCAACUAUUCUCAUAUCAAUCGUCAAUAUUUAUACAUCAAAUCCUAGAUUUUUGUUCAGUCUGCCCCAUAGUUAACGGUUAGCAACAGUGGCCCAAUACAAUCAGCAAACCUUACUAGAUGCAUGCAUCAUACAAUAUUUUUAUAUUUACUGAAAUAACAAUAUUAAUAUUGUACUUACAUAAUUGUGAUAUUUAGUUUAUAUCAUAAAUGCUAUGUCACAAAUAGUAAUUAUCAUGUGUUAUGUAUUGGUUUUGAAUUUAUUAUUUAUCAUUAAUAUUUUAGUUUCGCAAUCACUUCUCACUUAUUGAUAGAGAGAUAUUCCUAUAUUAGUUUUUUUUUUUGUCUGAACCACGAGGUGGUCCUGAGUGGGCCCCAACUGUGAGAGGCACCUUUAAGCUCGUACCACAACCCAGACUAAUCCCCGCUCACACCGGAUCGGCCAUAAGGGGUAAAGUGCUGGCCAAAGUGGUGACUCCAUACGAGCGCGGGGCUUGAACCCCUGACCUCUCUUAAGGAGUGAGAGUGCCGAACCACUCACACCAACCAACUUUGGUUAUAUUCCUACAUUAGUUAAUAAAUAGUUAUGAGGCUAAAUAUAUAAGUUUAGGACAAUUCUCAAUUUUUAAACUAAUUUUUUUAUAUGACUUAGCUUCAAGAACUUUUACGUAACAAUAUGAAAAGCAAACUCACUAUUAGAACUAGUCAAAAUUACCAAUCUACAAAUGACAAAGGGUGUUAAAGGGAUAGUCACAAAUCCAGCAAAGCAACACUUAACCUUGCUCGAUGUCAAACAAUUUGAGAUACAAGGUAUGUUAAGUUUAUUUUACCGAAAUUACUCGGAAAAUAAUCGUUCAUCUUUCCUUGGUCCACGUUACGAGUUUCGUUUUCAAUCUUUCAGCACAAUAAAAUAUAUUCGGAUCUUGGAAACUAAAUACGCAGAAGACGACGAAGACUAAGACUUUCGAGAGUUGCCCAGAUGGACUGUUAAUCAAAAUUCGCGUACAGAUCAUGAAACACGAUCUGGACCAAAGAUUUUAAUACAUAAACUGCUGUUUUUGCGUGUAAUGUAGGCCAUAUGUCGUGAAAAAUCAUACCGUGUGUAACAUGGCAUGUCAUGAAAAGUACGAUGAUUUAUUAAUUCCUUGGAAUUGAACGAACUGAAUAUUAGCUAGGUUUAUGUUCAAGACUUCAUCUACACAAUUUUGUAAUGACCUUUGUAGGAAAGAAUAUAAUGCCAUCAUAUGACGGUGUGAAUUUGGGCUUUAAUUUAAGCGCUGUGAUUGUUCAAGGAGCAGUAAUAUUAAGACAGACAAAUUUAGUAGAACAUUGAUAGAAAUAGUGAUAAAUAUUUCUCAAUUUACUAACUUAAUUAUAAAAUAAAAUAAAUAAGUGCCGGUUUAUUAUUGUUUUUAUACGCGCUCUGUCAAUGUUCUACUUCAACAUUUUUCUUGUCAAUGCCUACAAAAAAGUAGGGGGAAAAAAGAAUGCUUUGAUGUUACAAUUCCAAUGUAACUCUUAAUAUCAGAAGCUGGAUCAUUUUUAAAAGUCAUUUUACUGACUUGACUCGACUUCAUGGUUUUCCAAUUUAUAAAUUGAUGAUAACUACAAUUAUUAUCAUCAUUAUUAUUAUUAUUAUUAUUAUUAUUAUUAUUGUUGUUGUUGUUGUUGUUUUUACAGAUUACAAUCAAAGUCAUUGAUAUAUAAAAUAAAAUAUCUAUUAGAUCAGUGAUCACUUUUAUUAUAUCAUAGCCAAAAAUUUCAACUUAUAUUAAGGUCCUUUAAAACUGCAACACUAAAAUAUUUAAUAAAUAUUAACUGCUGUAACUUAAAAGUUGUCUUAAUAAUUUUGUCAUAGAACGAACCUUUUGGCGGCACGUUAUGGUAGGUAAACCAUGUUUGCAGUUGUAUUGUAUGUAUUAGUUUAUGAACAUAUUGUGUAAAAUUAGGUGUCAUCGUUCAAUGACUUUUAUUAAUUAACCUUUAAAGUUUGACAUGAUACUGCUCUGUUUAACUCUUCUCCUAUGGGGGUAUCAGCCGCAUGGGAUAUCAUGGAUAUGUACAACCUAAGAAUUAUUCAACAUGACAUACAUAUUUUGUUUUAAUCUUUGUUGUUACAUGAUUUGAUUCACAGUGUAUGGGAGAGCGAAAACUUUUUGAUGUUUGUGUUGCCUUUAAUAUAGACCGGUACUCCUGUUCAAAGCAGGUGGUUAGCUAAUGCUAAUGGUGGUGAGUUAGAAGCUCUUGGAUAUAGGAGGGACAGAGUUGAUGUUGAUGUUCCUGACAGCACAUGGGCAAAGGCUGCAAGCUACUGUUUACACUUUCAAAUUCCUAUAGAUUGCUAUUCACUUUAUCUGUUUUUUCAAGCUCUCUGGCAGCAUUUGGAAUGUUUCUGUGGCAAAUAGUGAAAUGUAAUCUAUACUUCCUCGACCACAUUAAACGGUUUCCCAUUAAUGCCCAUUUCAUGUGUGUUAUUGUUGUUUUUGCUCUUAUUAUGACCGUGCAACAUAUUUUGCUUAUCCAUUGUACUUGGAAUUUUGGUUUUUUUACAUAGGUGGUGGGCUCCUGCAAAAUUUGACCCUGUGAAGUCACCUAUGCUAUUCUUUGAGAAGGAUAAGCCUGUCAUCCCUCCUGUACAGCCCAAUGUUGGUUUGGAUAUGGUCUUAAAACACAUCGUAGUACAUUGGAUAUGGUCUUAAAACACAUGGUAGUACACUGGAUGUGUUUAUUUACAUAGUAGUUGCUCCUCAGAAAAUCACAAGCUUACGUUGUGAAUGCAUGCAAUCUUGUGAUACCGGAUAUUCUCAGGGUUAGAUAGGCCAAGUAACUUAUUGCUUUAGUUACAGACUAAUGUUACCUCACGUUGCUGAAGUCUACAAGAAGCCAUGAGUGUCCUUUUUCACUCUGCACACAUCAUCACCGUGUUCAUAAAUUGGAGUUAUGAGUAUAACCUUGGUUAGAUGUGUAUAUUUUCUCAUAUAAUACGUAUAAUAUGGUGACAGAUACAAUAUGUUGAGAAAACUGCACGUCCAGGUUCGAUCAAACUCUUUCGUACACAGUCGCCAAGGCAUUUUGAAGGAGUUGAUUGGGACCAAGGAGGUUCAUGUCAACGGCUACAGCCUUUAUUGCCUGAGCAAGUGAGUCACGUUUAACAGCUUUAAGUUAGAUUGCGUAUGAUAAUUAAAAGAAAACUUGAGCUGUUUGUUUUAAAGGAAAAGUUGCAGAGAAAAUUUUAUUUUAUUGAAUCUGGACAAUUAUCAAAGUCAAAUACAACUUAAUCAAUCACAGCUUAUAUACACACGAGUUAGUUAUACACACAAGAAUUAUUAAUAACAGACUUUAACAUCUUGUGCUGACUUGUUAUUUCAUAACUAACUCUGAUGAUUUGGCACUGUUGAGCUGGCAUGAUUGACUAACUUCACUUGCUGAAACUAUCGGCUUCUUCACCUUUCUAUUCUUCAUAAGCUCAGCACAAUGAGCUUCCUUUACAGCCCCCCUCAAACUCAAGGGACACAUCUGCAAAUUGAGUUUGUCUCUAAGAUAGUUAAAGUGAAUAAAUGAGAGAGGCUUGGUCAUAAUAUCAGCUAUCUGUUCUGCACGAGGAAUGUACUGAAUUUGCAGCUCUCCAGCAAUCACUUUGUCUCUGAUGAAGUGUAAGUCAAUUUCAAUAUGUUUAGUUCUUGAAUGGAUAACAGGAGCUAAUUCAGUGGCACUGAUGUUGUCACACCAGACACUAGGAGUUUAUGUACAGCUUAAACCAAUUUCAGAAAACAGAGAUUGUAACCAGCUUAUCUCUGCACUAGCUGAAGCUAAGGCUCUAUAUUCACUUUCAGCACUUGACCUGGCAAUGACUGAUUGCUUUUUAGAUGACCAUGAUAUUAGAUUGUUUCCCAAGUAAAUGCAGUAAGCACCCACAGACUUUCUGUCACCAAGAUCACCAGCCCAAUCUGCAUCAGUGAAUCCUGUGAUCUUCAUCUCUCCAUGCUAAACAAAUUUAAAACCAUAGUAUUGAGUAGAUUUCAAGUAUCUGAGCACUCUCUUACAAGCUACCAAAUGCUGCAAUGUAGGAUUGGAGACAUACUGGCUUAACUUGUUGACAGCAAAUGCAAUUUCUGGUCUUGUUAGGAUCAGAUACUGCAUUCCCCCCACAAUGCUUCUAUAAUGUGUAGGAUCAGUGAUAUACUGACCAAGAUGACCUGAAGUUUCCUUUUGUAGCUUUAUUCCAGUGCUCAUAGGUGUAUCAAUUCCUUUGCAUUCAAGUAGCUGAAUUUUGGACAAUAAGUCUCUUAUGUAUUUCCUUUGUGACAGAUAGAUGCAACCUGCAUCAUACAAAACUUCAAUGCCCAGAAAAUAAGAUAAACUACCCAAAUCUUUCAAGGUAAAGACUCUGCUCAGUUCAGUUAUAAAGGUUUCCAAUGCUGCACUAUCUGAUCCUGUAAUUAAGAUAUCAUCCACAUAAAUCAACACCAUUAUCAUGAAGUUGCUUAUUUUCUUUAUGAAUAAGGAAGAGUCUGCUCUUGAGUUUAUAAAAUUCCACUGUAACAAGCAGCUUUUUAACUUAUCAUACCAGGCCCUUGGAGUUUGUUUAAGGCCAUAGAGAGACUUGUGAAGUUUGCACACAAAAUCUGAUUUCUGAUUAUUGACAAAGCCUGCUGGUUGAUCCAUAAACACCUCUUCUGUCAGCUCUCCAUUAAGAAAAGCAUUAUUUACAUCGACUUGCCUUAUCUCUGCUUGUUUCAUGACAGCUAGACUAAUCACCACUCUGACAGUAGCUGACUUUACUACAGGGCUAAAUGUCUCAAAGUAAUUAACCCCUUCAAUCUGCUGAAACCCCUUAGCUACUAGUCUAGCUAUAUACUUGGCCAAACUUCCAUCUGAAUUUUGUUUGACUCUAAAUACCCACUUGUUGCCAACAAUUUUCUGACCAGCUGAUCUAGGAACCAGAGACCAUGUUUUGUUAUCCAUUAGAGCAUUGUACUCAUCCUUCAUGGCUGCAAACCAUUUAGGAUUCUCCAUAGCUUCUUUGACAGAUUCUGGUUCUUUAUGAACAAGUGUGACAUUGUAGAGUUUUGGUUUAAAAAUCCCAGAUUUGCUUCUAGUGAUCAUGGAAUGUGAGUUUACUGGUGUAGUAAUGUGUUGUGUAUGUUCUGGGGAUGAGAUAGAUGGAAUAAUGUUUAGUGAUAUUUGAUCAUAAGGAGAAGUAUAAGGCUCUGGCUCUGUAUGUGGUUGAACUGUUUGUGAUGAAGAGUGAGGAUCAAUGUUGUAUGCAGAAUUACCUGAGUGAUGAGAAGUGCUACUGGUAGGUCUUACAGAAUCAUGAUUAUAGUAGUUGCUGUCAUCUGAUAUUGGAGAUAUUAACAAAGUGGAUAGAUGAUACACUUAUUGAGGAGUAAAUGGUAGGUUUGAACAUGAAUUUGAUGAGUUUGAAGUGAAAGCAGAAUCUGAUGAGUAAGGAAACAAAUUCUCAUCAAAAACAACAUGUCUAGCUAUAUAGGUUUGACCAGAUGGAUGUAAACACUUGUACCCUUUAUGAGAAGGGCUGUAACCUAUGAAAAUCAUUUACUAGAAUGAUAUGCAAACUUAUGCUUGUUGUAAUCUCUCAAAUAAGGAUAGCAUGCACAACCAAAGCAUUUGAGUAUAUUGUAAUCUGGUUUAUGACUGAAAAGCUUUUCAUAUGGUGUAAGAAAUUUCAGAGUUGCAGAACGCAAUCUGUUAAUAUGAUAAACAACAGUUUGGAAAGCUUCCCACCAAAAUUGUAAUGGUAACUUAGCUUGAGCUAAAAGUGUGAGACCUGACUCAACUACAUGCCUAUGUUUUCUCUCAACUACCCUAUUUUGAUGGUGUGUAUAGGGACAUGAGUGCCUGAAAAUAAUGCCAUUUUGAUUCAAGAAUUCAGUAAAUGCUCGGUACUCUCCUCCCCAGUCAGAUUGCAACUUCUUAAUUGGACAUUGAAUCUAUUUUUCAACUUGCAAUCUGAAUAAUUUGAAAUUUUGUAAGGCUUCUGAUUUCAACUUUAAUGGGUAAAUCCAAGUAUAUCGGCUAAAAUCAUCAACAAAACUGAUAUAAUAGAUAUGACCUGCUCUAGAAGGUGUAGGUGAGGGUCCCCACAAAUCAGUAUGAAUGAGUUCAAGUACGUGAGAAGUCUUGGUUUCAGUAAUAGGAAAAUGCAAUCUAUGAACCUUGCCCAUUUGACAUGCCUCACAUAUUUGCGGUGCAGAUUGUUUGAUAAGAUUGGUAGAGAGAUUGAUAGUUUUAUCAUUCUUAAGCAAAUGUAUUAGUACAUCAUGAUGAGGAUGACCAAAUCUUCUAUGAAACAAACUGAUUUUAUUAACUGAUGCAUUACAAGGAGAGACAACAGUUUGAUAACAAGACAUAAAAGUUGAAUGAUUAUUUUGAGCACCAGUUAUAACAGGAAAUGAAAGAUGACAAGUAGAUAGCAUAGACAAAGGCUUAUUUGAAGAAACUUGACUCAAGAAAGAAGAUGGUGAUGUCUGAGAUGACUUUAAUAGCAACUUGUAUAAUCAUUUUUCAGCAAGACCUUGCAAAAGCACCUGUCCCUUCAGUGGAUCCUUUACAUAACACACAUUGCCAACAAAUUCAAUGGAAAGGUUAUUAUCAGUUGUCAACUUAGAUACACUUAUUAAGUUCUUAGUAAUUGAAAGAACUAAUAAGAUAUCUUUAAGUGUUAUAGGUGUGUGCUGGCAGGCAGUAUGAAGGCAUUUAUAGUUAAAGCAAGCAUCACCAAUAUGAGUAAUGAUCAAACCUUGUCCAUUUCCAAUGGUAAGCUGGUCUAAACCUUUGAAUUCUUCUCGUACACGCAUGUUUGCCAUGUUAUUUGUAAUGUGAUGUGUGGCACCACUGUCCAGAUACCACCCUUCAUAUGAUGAAUCUUCCAGAUUUGCAACAUAAGCUUCAGGCAGAGUAAAUGCUUCUGAUGAAUAAGAAGAAACAGGGGAGUAAUGGACUAGUUGACAGCUAGAGUUAACACCAGACAGUUCAUAAGGAUCUUCAAUAGCUGACUGGUGAUAUGAGAAUGGCUCAAAAUUAGUCAUAUAUGCUGCUUUAGAUCCCAUAAUCUUUCAUCUACCAAAUUGUUUUGGAAAAAGAGAGUAAUUAUCACCAUAUCUAUACCAGCAAGCAUCAGCAGUAUGACCUUGUUUGUGACAUAUUUGGCACACAGGUAUUGACUCAUUAGAUUCACCAGUAGAAAUGCUUGAGCUCAUUCUAGGUAAAAAUGUAUUUCUCACAUGUGGUGACCUAGGAAGAUGUGUAAACUGUUGAUUUCUUCCAAAGCUUGCAGCAUGACCUCUGCCAAAACCACCAGCAGUACUACUACCAAUUGGAAAACCUCUAGGAUAAGAGUUAAAGAACAUGCCUCGACCAAAAUUUUGACUUCUUCCUCCAAAUUGACCAAAGAAUCCAUUACCAUAAAUAUUUCUCCUAGGAAUUCCCCUCAUAUGUGAAUAGUUUGCAUUCAUCAUACUGUGAUUAGCAUUAAACAUGGCUUGAGAAUUCUGAGAAUUCUGAUUUUGUUCCAAUCUAGCCUCAUGAGUCAACAAAAGUGCAUAUGCAUCAUCAUAAUUCAUUUUAUUUGCUAUAAUUAUUGAAGCUAAAUCCAGAUAGCCAGAUCCUAAUCCAUUAAGAGUUCUUAUUAGCAUAUCUUUUUCAGUUAUAUUAUCAUAAGCACAGACAAGCUUAUUAGCAAGUAUCUUCAUUUUUUAGCAAUAUUCUUCAAUCGACAUUGAUUCUUUUCUUAAGGUAUCUAAUUCAUAUCGAAGCUGCAUUACCUUUGCUUCAGAUUGAACUCCAAAUUGCUUUUCAAUUGAUUUCCAGACAUCAAAUGAAGUAUCAUAAUUGAGAACUGAGCUUAGAAUACCUUCACUUAUAGUUGAAAAGAGCCGGCUCAGCAGAGUCUGAUCCUGAGCUCUCCAAUUUACAUAUGUUGGAUUCUUAGUUCCCUCCACAGAUCCAUCAGUUCGAGCUUGAGACAAAUACUGUUCUGGAAUAUUUCGAUUUUCUGAGAUAAAACCUUCAAGUCUAUUUCCUCUGAUCGAAGUCAGAACUUGCUUACGCCAGAGGAGAAAAUUAGAUCGAUCAAGCUUGACGGUUGUAGCAAAAGUAAAUGAAAUUUGAUGAGAAUGAGUUUGAUGAACAAUCAAAUGAUUUUGAUUGGUUGUACUGGAACUAGCCAUUGUGGUUCUGAUACCAUAAAAGAAAACUUGAGCUGUUUGUUUUAAAGGAAAAGUUACAGAGAAAAUUUUAUUUUAUUGAAUCUGGACAAUUAUCAAAGUCAAAUACAACUUAAUCAAUCACAACUUAUAUACACACGAGUUAGUUAUACACACAAGAAUUAUUAAUAACAGACUUUAACAUCUUGUGCUGACUUGCUAUUUCAUAACUAACUCUGAUGACUUGGCACUGCUGAGCUGGCAUGAUUGACUAACUUCACUUGCUGAAACUAUCGGCUUCUUCACCUUUCUAUUCUUCAUAAGCUCAGCACAAUGAGCUUCCUUUACAUUAAUUAGUUAAAUUAUUUGCAUGCAUACAUACAAUUGAAUCACUACGAACAUCUGUCUCUUUUACACGACUGUGUUUUAUUAAACUUUUGUUACACGGUGUCAGAAAUGAUUUAAGAGGUUUUAUUUCAUUCUGUUUCAGGUUGAAGAACUUUUCUCAGUACAAAAUAAUGGAACUAAUGUAGAAGCGCGCCUGGUGAAUCAGCACCUGUACAAGGCCCUUAAGGGCUCGGAUUUCCAAAUUUUGGACAUUACCCACAUGAGUGAGUUCAGAGCCGAUGCACAUCCCUCUACAGCCGGCGGUAAGAAACACGAUGAUUGCAUGCACUGGUGCUUACCAGGAAUUACAGAUACUUAGAAUGAUUUGUUUGCAACUCUUCUGAACAAUGUUAAGGUUAGAACCUGAUGUACGAAUUAUUUAUAGUCUGAUUAUAUUCUUUUUGGUUAUUCCGAAGUUCUUUCUCACAUACAGAAAAAUAAUUAGAAAAAUAAAAGGAAAUAAAAUGCUGCUACAAUGUCCUAAAAUUACACACUGUAACAUUGAUCUAAAUAAGGAUUAGUUUAUCGAAACUUGUAUAUAUUAAUUUAGCAGUGUCAUUUAUUGUAUAAUACAGAAAAAGUGGUGUAAAGAAACUCAAUCAAGCUCGACAGUCCAUCCCAUCUUGUCCUCAAUGCGGCCAGUUUGGAUUCCUGUUAGCAUUUCAUAUAGCUUUUGCCCCACAGUCCCUGCUCCUCUUUUGUACGCAAUCCUGCAUAAUUCACCUUAGAAAAUAAAUACUGUUGUAAAGAGGUUUUGAGAGCAAAUCUCGUUCACAUAAGUGAUUUAGUAAAUAAUAAUAAUAAUAAUAACAAAAAAAUGAGGAGAUACCUGGUAACCCAAAACAUGGGUGAUUUCGAUGAUACUUUUUCGAGUGAUUCCAGGCAGAAUAGUUCCACUCGUUGGUGGAGUUAAAGUUUCAUUUCCCUGAACAAAUUAUUUCAAAACUAAGUUUUCUUUUUUUAAAAAAAAAAUCAACAUAAAGUGAAUUUAUCCAGGUGAUAACCGAUAAAGACAAAGUUAUCUUACCUUCACAAGAAAAAUAUUACUGGUAGAAACCUCCUCGAUGUAUUUUUCGGCAUUAAGGAACAAGACAUCGGUGAACCCUUUGGCCUUCGCUUCAGCAAUUGGUUUGUAAAUCUACGACGAGAAUACAUGGGAGGAUCUCAAUUUAAAUAGUGAUAGUGUUACUUAGUAAUUAAACAAAGAUUAUUUCCUGGAAACUGCAAAGUUGAAAUUUAUGCUCACUAUAGCAUAAUUGGUGACAGCCUUGACUCCUCCAGUUCCUCCAGGAAUAGCUCGACGAAAUUUUUCCUCCACAAUCAAGUUUAGUACACCCUGUUACAUAAUCCGAAAUGGCUUUCAAGUCCUUAUUCUUUGUAUUAUGUAAUCUGCUUUUUCUUUUAAUUUAUUUUCCUAAAGAAAAUGAUAAUGUAUCAAAGAUGAUCAGGCACCUUACCUUGUGAUAAUUGCCUACAGGAGAAGCAUAAGUUAUGAAGGUAUAUUCGGAGGCUGGUGCAACUCCUAGAACCGGUCCACUUCCCAUAAGCAAAGGCCUUAUAUACAUUGCUCCUUUCCCUGGUGGAGGCACCUAUAUAUAUUCAUCACAAUCCAUGCACAAACUUUUAAUCAGCAAAAUUUUAGACAGGUCACAGAAAAAUUAGAGUAUUAAUUAACUUAUACAUAAAACAUUUUUAUCAAAAUUAACAUUUACCCAUCGCUUGUUGGAGUGUACAGUUUGCUUUACUGCAUUCACAAAUUGUUCUACAGUUGGUGCCUGCAUGCACAUUCUUUUUGAACCCACUUUCAUGCGCAUGGCAUUUUGUUCUGGCCGAACAGUAGGAUGCGCCCAUUUGCUGUCCUGUGUGCCUUCAAACCUUCGAACAAACCCUAAAUUCACCCACCGUCUAUUUUAAAUAAGAAUUCAUAGUUACUGAAUACAAGGAAAUGUAUUUGUUUGCUAACCAAGAUUGUGUUAAAAUGAUGGAUGCGAAUUAAUUAUUACCUGUCCAUAGUUUAAAAUUCCAGAUGAAGGGUUCACCUCUAUCUUUCCAAAUGGAGUGAGAGUUCCUUGUGAGAAGUGUUGGUCUUUAGAACAAUUCAUUAUGUACAUAUAAUCAGUUGGAAUUAUGCCAAAUCCAAGGUUAUCCCAAUUAAUAUUUGCAGAUUUUCCAUUGACAUGGCUGCUGAAAACUAGUCAGAGAAAGAAAUUUAUUUUGAUAUGCUAACUAAAUUUGUUACUUUGAACCAUAAGUACAUGAAUAUCUUCUCCUGAUCGAAAUUUAUAAAGUCUUAUACAUUACAUACCUUGUUAUUAUUUAUGCAUUGUAAAGUAUCUUUCCUUUCACUACCAUUAUAUCCAUUGUGUUAACAACUAGCCAAUAGCUAAACUAUCUGUAAAGAGGUUGAAAAAAGCUGUUACAGAAUAAGAGUCCUUAGACCUCCCUCAAAGAUAGAAGUCUCCGAAACUAAUUAACAUUAAUAUUAAGUCAAAUCUAAUGACAUGAAAAUGAGAAGCGAAUAGUAAAUAAGAACAUUGGUUUGUAAAUCUACGACGAGAAUACAUGGGAGGAUCUCAAUUUAAAUAGUGAUAGUGUUACUUAGUAAUUAAACAAAGAUUAUUUCCUGGAAACUGCAAAGUUGAAAUUUAUGCUCACUAUAGCAUAAUUGGUGACAGCCUUGACUCCUCCAGUUCCUCCAGGAAUAGCUCGACGAAAUUUUUCCUCCACAAUCAAAUUUAGUACACCCUGUUACAUAAUCCGAAAUGGCUUUCAAGUCCUUAUUCUUUAGAUUAUGUAAUCUAUUUUUUCUUUCUAUUUCUUUUCCUAAAGAAAAUAAUAAUCUAUCAAAGAUGAUCAGGCACCUUACCUUAUGAUAAUUGCCUACAGGAGAAGCAUAAGUUAUGAAGGUGUAUUCGGAGGCUGGUGCAACUCCUAGAACCGGUCCACUUCCCAUAAGCAAAGGCCUUAUAUACAUUGCUCCUUUCCCUGGUGGAGGCACCUAUAUAUAUUCAUCACAAUCCAUGCACAAACUUUGAAUCAGCAAAAUUUUAGACAGGUCACAGAAAAAUUAGAGUAUUAAUUAACUUAUACAUAAAACAUUUUUAUCAAAAUUAACAUUUACCCAUCGCUUGUUGGAGUGUACAGUUUGCUUUACUGCAUUCACAAAUUGUUCUACAGUUGGUGCCUGCAUGCACAUUCUUUUUGAACCCACUUUCAUGCGCAUGGCAUUUUGUUCUGGCCGAACAGUAGGAUGCGCCCAUUUGCUGUCCUGUGUGCCUUCAAACCUUCGAACAAACCCUAAAUUCACCCACCGUCUAUUUUAAAUAAGAAUUCAUAGUUACUGAAUACAAGGAAAUGUAUUUGUUUGCUAACCAAGAUUGUGUUAAAAUGAUGGAUGCGAAUUAAUUAUUACCUGUCCAUAGUUUAAAAUUCCAGAUGAAGGGUUCAUCUCUAUCUUUCCAAAUGGAGUGAGAGUUCCUUGUGAGAAGUGUUGGUCUUUAGAACAAUUCAUUAUGUACAUAUAAUCAGUUGGAAUUAUGCCAAAUCCAAGGUUAUCCCAAUUAAUAUUUGCAGAUUUUCCAUUGACAUGGCUGCUGAAAACUAGUCAGAGAAAGAAAUUUAUUUUGAUAUGCUAACUAAAUUUGUUACUUUGAACCAUAAGUACAUGAAUAUCUUCUCCUGAUCGAAAUUUAUAAAGUCUUAUACAUUACAUACCUUGUUAUUAUUUAUGCAUUGUAAAGUAUCUUUCCUUUCACUACCAUUAUAUCCAUUGUGUUAACAACUAGCCAAUAGCUAAACUAUCUGUAAAGAGGUUGAAAAAAGCUGUUACAGAAUAAGAGUCCUUAGACCUCCCUCAAAGAUAGAAGUCUCCGAAACUAAUUAACAUUAAUAUUAAGUCAAAUCUAAUGACAUGAAAAUGAGAAGCGAAUAGUAAAUAAGAACAUAACUUAAGAGGAUGUUACUAAUAAUAUGCCUAUAAGAAAUUAAAGUCUUAGAGAAUGGGAAGGUCUGGCCAAUAAAAUAAUGCCAUGUACUUUAAUUUCUUUUUCUUUUCAUUUUAUAAUUGAAUAAAUAUUAAGUGUAGGUGUCAAAAAUUUUAAUAAACGAGGUACUCUGUCCGUUCCAUACUUCCAUUUAAGGAUUUCUUAACAAUUUCAUGAAGUGGUGGUGGUCUUGUUGCUGUAACUUAGAAUUUUUAAACUUUUAAAUGUGAGUGUAACGUAACUUCUGAAGGACGCUGAAACUUUAAAUGUGCUAAUUUUGACUUCUGAACGGCACUCAGAAACAUUUAGAAAGUCGGUGGGUGGGGCAGCUGACAAAAGUAAUCGUGAGGGUAAUAAAUAAUACAUGAAGAAGACAGAGCAGCCAUGAUUAAUUGCUACGAUAAACUUCUUUCUGUUAUUUAAUACCUAUUAACACUUGGUUCAUUGUAACCUUCCACUUCCGCUCCCGCCGUUCUACAAUAUUGAUCUCGUCUGUUUAAAUAAAAAAUAAAUAAAUAAAUAAUGUUAGGCCCCUGAUUUAGGAAAAUAUCUAAUAACAUAAACAGAAAUAUUUUCACCUUAAUACCCACUGAUACAAUUAAAAAAAACAAAAGAGAUAAACCACAGUAGUUGUAUUAAUUGCUAAUGUUAUUAUCCCAUUCAAGAUUGAGUAAAAAUGUUAAUCAAAAGGGGAGAUUGCUGCUUUUCAAGGGGAUAUUAUAAAACCUAUGGGUGUAAGUGGUAAAAUCUCCCAACUUGGAGGGUAGAGAUAAUUUUCUAAAUAAAACUAAAAGAGUUUCAAAAUAAAGUUUUAUGGUGCUUUUGAGAGCGAGGGAAUAACUUUUAAGGUGCAGUUGUCCUGGAGUAAAAGAUAUAGUUAUGGAGUAGAAAUGAGAAAAAAGAGCUGCUAAGCUAACAAAACCCAGCUUUAAGGUGUUACGAAACACCUUGACGGCUGAGGUUUGGCAGCCCAACCACCACACAUCACUCCUAUACGCACUCUUAAUUAGUUUGGUAAACAUGACGUAGCUGGCCAAUUAAUCUUGCAUGUCAGUGAGCAUCAAUGGGAUUGUCUGCACCAGCUGCCAUAAAAUAUAUGAAAGGAAAAGAGAUAAAAAGUAAUGGAGUCUAGUAGCAGAAAUAAUCAAUUGGGAAGCGAAAAACAAUUUUGAUAUUGAACCCACAAAAAAAUUAUUUUGACAUUCUGUUCCUUCUUUAAAAUGAACAGAUAAGGAUGAAAACCAAAGUCGGAAAAUUUAUCUACAGGGUGAGAGAGAGGGGGGAAAAUAAAAUAAAAGACAAAUGAUGAGAGCUGUUAUUCAUAAUCAUAUAUCUUAAUAUGAUGAAAAGGUUUUUUGUUUUUGUUUUAUUUUUGGUUUGACUGAAACUCAAAGCUUGAGAUUUAUUAUAUAUAUAUGUAUGUAUGUAUGUUAUCAUUUGAGUAUUGAAAAAAGAAGUCUCAAAAAAAGAAAAAGGAUCAUGAAGUCGGAGAAACAAAUACAAAAAGAAGAUGGAUGAAUUUCCUGGAGAAAAUAAUUGCUUAUUACCAACAAUAUAUGUACCCAAAAAAGAGAUUAUAAUUCAUAUCUUGUGCCCUACUUCUUUCUCAAUAUUAGAGUGAUCAUGAAGAAGAGAUAUAAAUUUGAGAUUACUGACACACCUUAGACAGAAUCGAUCCUGCUAUUCUUGAUGGUAUGCUCCAUUUUCUGAAAUAAUCACUUACUUUUAACAUGUUUGUUCGUUUCGUGAGAAAAUUAGAGAGAGCAGAGUAUCAAAUCACAACACACAAAACUCUGUCUAUAUGUGUAGAAGUUGCAUGCAAGCCGCUGGGUUCUGUGAGCACUUUGAAGGGUUGGUUUGUCAAAAUCAGAUGAGCAUUUUCAAAUAUAUAUUAAAGCAUUCACUCAUGCCAAACUAUUAGAAUGGCACUUCUAUUCAAGUUAAAAUUUGUUUUACCAUUUGAGUCUCUGAUAAGUUUUUAAUAACUUAUUUACUUUUGGUAUUAAAACAACAAGAGAGAAAAUAAUUAAUUUAUUUAUUAAGAAGUCCUAUUUACCUUUCAAUAAUGUAUUUCUUAUAUUGGAACCAGUCAAAAAGACCAAUCUACAAAUGACAAAGGGUGUUAAAGGGAUAGUCACACAUCCAGCAAAGCAACACUUAACCUUGCUCGAUGUCAAACAAUUUGAGAUACAAAGUAUGUUAAGUUUAUUUUACGGAAGUUACUCCGAAAAUAAUCGUUCAUCUUUCCUUGGAAACUAAAUACGCAGAAGACGACGAAGACUAAGACUUUCGAGAGUUACCCAGACGGACUAUUAAUCAAAAUUCGCGUACAGAUCACGAAACACGAUCUGGGCCAAAGAUUUUAAUACAUAAACUGCUGUUUUUGCGUGUAAUGUAGGCCAUACGUCGUGAAAAAUCAUACCGUGUGUAACAUGGCAUGUCAUGAAAAGUACGAUGAUUUAUUAAUUCCUUGUAAUUGAACGAACUGAAUAUUAGCUAGGUUUAUGUUCAAGACUUCAUCUGCACAAUUUUGUAAUGACGUUUGUAGGAAAGAAUAUAAUGCCAUCAUAGGACGGUGUGAAUUUGGGCUUUAAUUUAAGGCAAAUGCUAAGUUACAAUAAUUGUAACAUACAUUCCUUAUGUGAACCACACAAAUUGUGGGCCCUAUAAUUUUGUGUGGUUCACAUGAGGAAUGUAUGUUACAAUUAUUGUAACUUAGAGGCUCCCUUAAUUUAAGCGUUGUGAUUGUUGAAGCAGUAAUAUUAAGACAGACAAAUUUAGUAGAACAUUGAUAGAAAUAGUGAUAAAUAGUUAUCAAUUUACUAACUUAAUUAAAAACUAAAAUAAAUAAAUGCCGGUUUAUUAUUGUUUUUAUACGCGCUCUGUCAAUGUUCUACUUUAACAUUUUUCUUGUCAAUGCCUACAAAAAAAGUAGGGGAAAAAAAGAAUGCUUUGAUGUUGCAAUUCCAAUGUAACUCUUAAUAUCAGAAGCUGGAUCAUUUUUAAAAGUCAUUUUACUGACUUGACUCGACUUCAUGGUUUUCCAAUUUAUAAAUUGAUGAUAACUACAAUUAUUAUCAUUAUUAUUAUUAUUUUUUACGGAUUACAAUCAAAGUCAUUGAUUUAUAAAAUAAAAUAUCUACUAGACCAGUGAUCAUUUUUGUUAUAUUACAACCAAAAGUUUCAACUUAUAUUAAGGUCUUCUUUGCGAUUGAAGUUGGACAGUUAUAACUUAAAAUCUGCAGCACUGAAGUAUUUGGUAAAUAUUAACUGCUAUAAAUUGAAAGUUGUCUUAAAAAUUUUGUCAAAAUUAUUAUUAAAAAAUUAUACUUACUACAUACUAUUAACUUUUGUUUCAUAAUUACAAUCUUUUUUGUACAUCAACUGAAUCUUUUAAGUUACAAUACUUCAAUUUCAAAUAAGAUCUAAGAUAUGUAUCUCUACUAAUAUUAAUUUAAAUGUCGAUUUAUAAGGAAUAUAUAUCCUAUACAUAUAUGAGAAAGUUGAUUUACUCCCACCCAAUUAUGGGAGGAGAGUAGGAGCUGUUAUUGUACUUUUUUUGUAAAUUUUUUUUAAAAAAUUUGCUUUUAAAGUGUUAUGGACCGAAAUUGAAUCUCUUCGAUUUUCACGGAUAUGAAUGGGCUCAAACCCUAAACCUUUUGUUCUAUCACAAAAGAUAUUAAUGCUGAACAACUUGCAAGCGAGAAUAUUUAUCCUACUUUCUUUCACUUGUUAACCCUAUAAAUAGCCAUCGAAACUUCUUAAAUCUUCAUCAGUUACCAAAGAUACAUUUCCCUUUGUAGUAGAAAGAAUUCCAAACCAAAUGGCCUUCAGUAAGGAUAUCCCGUCACUAGUGCUUUUCUGUCUCAUGGGGUUAGCCCUAGCUCUGCCUUCCCGUGCACAAGACUUUCCACAAGACUAUGUCAAUGCUCACAACGCAGCUAGAGCACAGGUUGGCGUUAACCCUGUGAAAUGGGACGAGAGCAUAGCUGCCUUUGCAAGAAGCUAUGCUAGUCAACAAAUUGCCAGCUGCAAUCUUGUCCAUUAAGGGACAGGCGUUACGGCGAGAACCUUGCCGGGAGCUCGGGUAACCUUUCAGGCGCAGAUGUUGUCGGAUUGUGGGUGAGUGAAAAGGCUGACUACGAUUACAAUUCUAAUAGUUGCAACGCAGGCAAGGUGUGUGGGCACUAUACGCAUGUGGUUUGGAGGAACUCUGUUCGCAUUGGGUGUGCAAAAUUUAGAUGCAACUAUGGAGGAACUUCCAUUGGCUGCAACUAUGCUUCCCCAGGCAACGUUGUGGGGGUGAAGCCUUACUAAUUAAUUUAAUUAGUAUACUUUUCAGCUCGAGAAAGGCAUUUAAAUAAGAGUUUAUUUUGAUGAAUAAAGCUUCUUCUGUUGUUUGUAUUGGUGGAUAAAAAAUAAUUACAAUUAUAUUAUGAAUAAGUCUGGAAUUAUGCUUUGCAUAAUGCUAUUUUUGCUAGGGAUUCAUGUACCACGACCACUUUGCGAACUAAGAACUGACGACUCUAUGUGUGUGUUUCUUCUAUGAAUAUAGGGCUUCAUUAAUUUGUUAUCUAAUUAGUUCUAUUCUACGGCUGUUGCUUGUUGAACAAAAUAGUCUGGCAAAAGUUAAAUUGUAAUUAUGCUUAAAAUUUAUUUUAAUUAUUUCUCUAAUCACAUAAAAGUGUACGUCUGGCAAACGUUAGAUUGUAAUUAUGCUUAAAAUUUAUGUUAAUUAAUUCUCUAAUCACAUAAAAGUAUCAUCCCGGUAUUUGUCUGAUGAGUUAACAAAUACAAGUCCAAAAUAAGUUCUAAGGUGCAAAAUUAAUAUCUAUCGUGACUGGUAAUUAAGAUUUUUUGUUUUUGUUUAUAUUAAGUAAUACUAAUCACAUCCAUAAUUUUGUUAAAAGAAGAGAUAUGUUUAAGUUUAAAUUUUGGAUGAGGAAUGUUUUCUAAUCUAAACUUUUAUAUGAGUAAAUACACUUAUAUGAUCGAUAGUUAACAAAUAAGAAUAUAAUAAUUACAUAAAUUUUGAUUAUACACGAACACAAUUAUAUGUGUCAAAAAAAAAUUUCAAAGAUUUUAAAUUUGAGGAUUUUGCCAAAAUCCACAUUCGAUGAUGCUCUCUUCUUUGGCAUCUUUACAGCUUUAUUUAUAUGGUCAAUGGUAAUUGUUUCGGCAUCUUUAUUUUUUCUUAUUAUUAUUUUUUAUUCUGGUUAUCUCAUUGGCAUCUCUAAAAUAUGGCUAUAGCUGCACUCUAUUUAAUUAGCUCAAAACAAUCAAUAUGUAGGUUUAGAUUCUCUCCAACUUCAUGGAACAUGAUUUUUAUUUAAUGGUGAAUGACACUUAUAUCUCUCAUAAAAACGGUUUUUAGCACUUAGCUAGAUCUCUUAUAAAUUUUUGAUAGAUCAAUUUAUUUCUUAUGUUAUUAAAACAUUUAAAAGAAAAAAAUAAAUUGUUAAAAGGUACAUGCUUUUCACCUGAAUUUUACAUCAAUAUGGAUUAAUUUAUUAGCCAACAAAAAGAUCAUAUAUUGAAUUAAAUAAAGAUAAGUAGACGGACAAUAGUGCAUCCUUUUGGUUAAUCAAGCAAAGACUAACGACACAUGCAAGUGCCUUGACCAAAGACAUUAUUACAAUAGCAGAUUUAAUGUCAUUAAUUUUGAGAAUGACAUUGCGACAUAUACUAAUUUAUUGUUUAGACUUUUAAUUUGCAGAAACGGAGUAGAUCUUAAUUAACUUAAUCAGCUUAGUAAGGUUUCUGCCCAAUAUAAUUGCCCGGAGGAUCAUAGUUGCAAGUGACAAACCACCGGCCAUUGCAAUUAUGCAAAGUGCCAAAUAAUAAAAGUGUUUUUGUAUAGACUAUUUUUCUUUUAACUUAAUGCAAGAAUUAUUUUAUUCUUAUAAUUUUUUUCUUCAUAUUACUAUUUGAAAAGUAUUAUUUUUUGAAAAAUAUUAAUCGUAAUCAUUAUUGUAGCCAUCAUGUUGGAUGAGUGCUAAUGACGGUGAAUGAAAUGUAGAUCUUCUCUUGAACCGUGUGUUGAACAAUAAUAUGAAGUGUUAUUGUUAUUUUUAGAUACUAGUUUGUGGUUUUUUUAAAUACAUUUGUGUAUUUUAUACUUAAAUUUGAGAAUUUAUGUUGGAUUGAUGUUGAAAUUUUAAUUUUUCAUUUACAUUGGUUAAAUUUAAAAUUGAAUAUGUCAUGUGGAAUUUGAGGUUAUUAUUGUAAAUUUAUAUAUUGAAUAUUUUUUAUUUUAAAUGUAUAAACCCGUAAAAAAAUCCGCCGGAUACCAUUGCAGGUUUGGUAAUUGUCAAAACUCGCAGCAGGUUAAUUUUCUUAAAAAAAUUAAAACCCACUGCGGGUUGCGGGUGGGUUUAAUAAUUAAAAUUUUGUGCAGAUUUGAGUUUGAUAAUUUAAAUUUUGUGUGAAUUUGAAUUUAGUAAUGACAAACCCGCUGCAGGCGGUGCCAUCCCUACGUAUAGCGUGCCAAACGCAGUUUGUUUUAGCUGCUCGGCUGCAGCUUUUGUUGGCCUUUACCAUUGUAUUGGGCUGGGCUUGGCCCAUUCGGCAUGCCCAUUUUCGAAAGUUUUUGUUCGUCGCAUCACAUCAUAAAUUAUUAAAUACCAUAACAAAAGCCAGAUGAAAGAAAUUGCUAAAAUCAAUCCAACAUAAUUAUGUGUCGUGGAUAUUGGAGCAGAACAAUACUGCAUUUGGAUACGAUUCCAUUAAAGGUUUUAUUUUGAAAUAAAAAUAAAAAUUAAAAGAAAAAGAAAAAGAAAAAGAAAAAGAAGGAAAAUUAAGAAUGAAUUUUCUUUGUUCUAGUUGUGAAUAAAGUUAUAUAGAUAAUUGAUUAUUGUCUGAGGUGAAUCUGCUGCGUUUGGUAUUUGCAAAUUUAAAGUAGAUUUUGGAGCAGCUAGUUAAUUAACUUGUGUUUUGUACAAGAUGCGCCUAGUUUAUUUUGUAAUUGCAUAUAAUUUAUCAGUGAUCUGUUAAAAAUGGGUGGGUAAAGUUAAAAGCAUUCUUGUUGAGAUCCAAGUCAACUUAACUGUUAAUAUUUUUUUCCAUUUAUAAGAUGAGGAUGCCAUCCUAGGAAUGAUUUGGUGUGUCGCGCAAUAGAUGAAUUAAUUUGGCGUGGACCAGUUAAUUAGGAUCAUUUUAUUUGUAAUCUGGAUAUUAUUUUAUAUUCUUAAGAAUAAAUUGAGGCGCAAAAAAUUUCAAAAGAACAUGUUAACAAUUUUGGUACAAUGUAAGCAUGAUUAAAGUUACACGCCAUCAAUAUUUUGACCAACGUUAGGUUUGUUAAUCGCCAACGUAACGUCAAAUGUGGCCCCAAAUGUCGUUAACAUGUAGAUCCGUGAAAUGCUGCGUCUCAAUCCCUUUGGCUAUAUAUACAUUCAUGAUUCAUAUUAUUUAUUAUUCUAGUCUUUUCCUAUAUAUAAAGAGAUGAUAAAUAGACCAAAUUCAUUGUUAGUAGAACAAUCGGCCGAUCCUGUCAAUUUAAAGGGAAUCUAGGAGUAUUGAGUAUAUAUCCUGCGAAAUUGGAAUGUAAUAUAUAUUAUCUAACAAGUUAAAUUAAUGAUAAAUUCUCCCAAUUAUAUUUUUCUGAGUAACCCUUCUAUAGUUUUUACCAAAUCCAGUAACCUUUUAAGGGCAAAACCAUAAACAAAAAAGAGUGGACGUUUUGCUAUUUAUAUUUGUAUUUUUUAUAAAAUAUCAUUAUCGCUACAUCUGGUAGCAUUGUCAUAUGUUAUAAUUAUUUUUUAAGUUAAGAAUACCCAAAAUCUAAUCACAAGAAAACUGUUCUUUCUCGUGUUAACUCUUAUUGACAAUAGAAUAAGGUAUUUAUAAAAGCCAUGCAGAAUCAACAAAUUCUGACGACGACAUUGAUUUUGGCUCACUCUGGUAGCGGCAAUUUGUACAGAGUCACACAAAAACAUACGCAAUCCUUAUAUUAGGCAUGUGAAUCGUUAUAUUUAUUCCUAUAAUUACUUACAAAAUCAAUUAGUCUCUUCUUUCCAGUUGUAGAUAAUAAAAUUAAAUAACUUACUUGUAAUAAUAAUAAAAGCUAUCUCGCACAAUCAUAGCCUUAAAUUUUGUCAAGCUUUUCUCUUUAUAUAUGCCCUCAACGAUAUUACGAACUCAAUCAAGAAAGUUCACAUAGCGUAGUGAAGUUAAAAUGUUGCUCAACAAAUUCAUUUUAGCCAUCUUCUUCAUUUCUCUAACCCUACCUCACAUCAUCCACGCACAAAGCUCCCACCAAGACAUCGUUAAUGCACACAAUGCAGCUCGUGCGGAGGUCGGCGUCGAUCCGAUGACUUGGAAUGACACCGUUGCAGCCUAUGCACAAGACUAUGCCAACCAAAGAAUGGGUGACUGUAACUUGGAACAUUCAAUGGGGCCUUAUGGAGAGAACCUGGCUGAGGGUUAUGGGAAACUUGAUGGAGUUGAUGCCGUAAAAUUUUGGCUUACUGAGAAGCCUAACUAUGAUCAUGCUUCAAAUUCGUGUGUUGGUGAUGAGUGUUUGCAUUACACUCAAAUCGUUUGGCGCAAAUCUGUGAGUGUUGGCUGUGGUAGAGUCAAGUGCAAAAAUGAUUGGUGGUUUGUUAUUUGUAAUUAUUAUCCUCCGGGGAAUAUCGAAGGUGAAAGACCUUAUUGAAUAAUUUUACUUAGUAGUGCAAUGAAAAAUUACUGUUGUUGGGUUUGUUCGAUUUAAGAUGAAAAAGAAUUUGAAUGUGUUGUUGUGGCCUUAUCACUCAAAAGUUUAAAUUUAAAAUUUUGUAAGUUAAUAGAUUUUGUGACUGAACUUGUAAAAGCUUAAAAACGAUGUUAAUAGAUUUUGUGACUCAACUUUUAAAAACUCAACAAGAAAAAUUGGCAAUCUCCUGAUUUAAAAUUACUCAUAACUAAACUAUUUAUUCUAAUUGAUGUAAAUUUCUAAUGAGAUGUGAUCAGAUUUGCUAUUUAUUAUUUUAAAAUUUCCCUCAGGCCAUAAACAGUUUAACCAAAAUAUGAAAAUUUGAGUAAUUCUUCACUCUUACGUUUUUGUUUCUAGAGUAUAUUUCAGAAUUGAACUUUUCAACACCUAAGAUGGCUCCAUUUAUUGGGGUAUCCUCACAUUUUCAACGCAAUGAAAGUGCACAUUUACUAAUAACGCAGCCAGCACCCGGCAGCCUAUCUAUCUUCUAACAAACAAAUUUUCAUAAAAAAUUUGGUAUAUAUCGGUUGCAAAAUCUUUGGACUCAUCAAUAACAAAUUAAUAUGACCAAUUCUUUCGAUAAAAAAUUAAAAAUUAAUUAAUCAGACAAAUCUAAACGGUAUAAGAACAACACUGUCGUCCAAGCUCAAAAUUUCCAACAUGCGAUUUUUAUUUUUUUAACAAAGCAUUAUUAGAAAUUAAACUUAAUUACACCCUACCCUUUUUCAAUAUGUGAUUUUUUUUUUAAUUUUUAUAAAGCAUUAUUAGAAAUUAAACUUAAUUACACCCUACCCUUUUUCAAUAUGUGAUUUUUUUUUUAAUUUUUAUAAAGCAUUAUUAGAAAUUAAACUUAAUUACACCCUACCCUUUUUCAAUAUGUGAUUUUUUUUUUAAUUUUUAUAAAGCAUUAUUAGAAAUUAAACUUAAUUACACCCUACCCUUUUUCAAUAUGUGAUUUUUUUUUUAAUUUUUAUAAAGCAUUAUUAGAAAUUAAACUUAAUUACACCCUACCCUUUUUCAAUAUGUGAUUUUUUUUUUAAUUUUUAUAAAGCAUUAUUAAAAUUAAACUUACUCCCUACCCUAGUUAUAUAAACAGGAUUCGAACUUCAAACUUUUUGUACCACUCAAAAAAGUGACAAGCGACAGCCCAUAAUUUUGUGACUUUCAGUGACUAUUUGGUUGAUUAAAUAAAUAAAUGAUCAUUUUUCCUCUAACUUUCUCAAGAACUAAUUACUAAAUGUGAAACGUAAAAUAAUGGAGAAAGACAAAACUACAAACUUUAUUUUACCGAAGGUACGGGCGGAUAAAAUCACAUUUGUUAUAAAAGCAAUACUUUAUUUGUAAGCAAAAUUCAGGCGGAUUAAACGGGAAUCCAAAUGCACUUUCAUCCUGAUAUAUUAUGAAAUCAAAUUUUGAUAUAUGUUACUCUAUUCACACUUUCGAUAAGUAAUUCAUCACAGGGAGUGUUCAAAACUUCAAAUAAUAAUAAUAAUAAAAAAAAAAUUAUUAAUUUGUGAGGACUGAUUUAAUAAAGAGUAAUGAUAGACAUCCUAAAUUUUUUUUUAUCUCAAAUGAUAUGUUAUUCAUUAAUUCGUUGGUAAUCUUUUAUAAGAUUUAAGUAAAUUAAUUGUAUUAUGCUCAUCAAUCAAUUGAUGAAUAAAAAAAAUUUAAGAUAUGCAGCCCUACUCUUUAAUAAAUUAGGAUACGGAAUUGAGCUGCUUUUUUCCCUUUUUUUUUUUUGUUGAACACUUAUAUGGAUAGUUCAAGAUUCGUUUUUCAAUUCUGUUGAACACUUAUAUGGAUAGUUCAAGAUUUUGUUGAACACUUAUAUGGAUAGUUCAAGAUUCGUUUUUCAAUUCUCUUGUCUUAUAACCGUUAAUGGUACUCAAUAAAAAAAUCAAAUUAGCACUUAAUCUUUGUCCUUGAUUAACAUAUCCAAAUUCACUAAAGCAAUAGCCUCUCUCUAGGUUCAAAAUUUUACGGUCGAUGGAAAAUGGAUGGCGUCAAUUUUGAUUUUGACCAACUCCUAGUUCUUUUAACCAUGGAUAAUAAUAGUCAAUUCUUCAUCUUUAUCAAAACAAAGUUUUUAGUUAGUCAAAUUGGACAUCGACAUCGUCUAUUUACUUUUCUACUUGAAAUCCUGAAUUUAUGCUCAAUUUGUCCCAUAAUUAGCGCUACACAUUAAUUGACAAUAUUCCAACUUUCUAGAUGAAUAUAUUUUCAUUGAAUAAAUAUAAAUCCCCUAGUGACGACUUCGUCUACAGAAAUUAAGUUUUUCACAUAUGUAAUCAUGGAAAUAAUUUUUCUUAUGGAGAUGUGGGUAGGGGUUCGAAUCCCCAUAUAUUUUUGGGGAAAAAAAAAUCAUAUUUCAGUUAUUCAUUUGGGAUAGUUUCAGCAUUUUGAGCUAGACAUCCAUCUUGCACCAUAACAAAACUAUUUAAACAAGGUCUUAAUUGUGAUGUAAAAAUAAUAAAUUGUAAUAUGAUAUACAUUAAAAUAAAAUACAGGUGAUCCAUUGUUACUAAUGAAUUCUAAGUCAACUUUAAAUAAGGCCAUUUUUGCAUCGUACAUAUGAGAAACAUGGUCAAAGGAAUUGUUAAUUUGUAAUAAUUAAACACCGCAAUUACUGUUGAAUGUGGCAUGAAUCAUGGAAGGGAGAAGGAGACUGGGAUCAUGAAUCUUUGUAUUUGGUUUUCAAAAAGAGACAGUAGGUAUGAAACAGGAAUAAUGUGAUACAAAUCCUGACAUGAAAAGUAAAAAAGAGUUAAAUUGUUUCUUUCUUUUUUUUUGAAAAGAAAAAGAGUUAAAUUGUUAAUAAUGGAUAUGUUCAGGCCUUGUCGUUCAAAGGAAGGGAAGAAAGUCUUGGAUGAAAAGGAUGUGCCACUUUAUUCAUUUAAACUAUUUUCUUUUGAUAUAAAUUUGCUAAUUGUGGCUAUAAUUAUAGUAAUUGAGAAAGAAUAUUUUAAAUAUAUGACAUCGUUUUUAUUGUGUCAGCAUAUUUUGCAAUAUAUUAGUCUCAGGAAAUUAAAACAAAUAAAGAUGAAUUAAGAGAACUUGUGUAUAUUAUUAUUUCAAAUAACAUCUAAUGGGUCAUUGGUUGUCCUUCUUUUAAUUAGUAUUUAAUAGAAAAGUUUUCUAUCGUGGUAGCCUAUCAUAUAGAAUUUGGCAGUAGAAUCAAAAAAUUGUUUGAAAUAAAAAUCUUCUUGAAUAAUUAUGAUCCUCUGAGAUUUUAUGAGCCUUUUAAAACUCUUAUGCCAUGUAAAGGUAUAUGUUUUCAUAUUUUAUUUUUCUUAUACAUAUUAUCUUAACCAUUGAGUGGAUCCAUGACCUUAAGUUUCGAAAUUAAUGGAUCAAGGAAAAGUAGUUAAACAAUUUAAUGAGGAGGAUUAAAUAUUAUGUUAUCUUAAGAAACCAAAUUCUAAUGAUUAAUUCUUUUCCCAUUUCAUGUCGUUAGCUAUAGUAAUCUAUAAGUCACGACUUCCUAACAAUGAAAUAAAACGUGGAAAUUGAUUUUGAUUGGAUCAGAAGAGUAAGCUACAAAUCAACUGUAUCUUAUUAGAAAUAUAGCUGAAGGUGACGACAAUAGUGUAAUUUUCUUUUAUUUGUAAUAGAUUUUUUUCAUUCUCAAGUUCCCUAAACCACUACGCAAUCUUGUUUUUGAACAUUCUUCUUAAUUUGCCUAAUUUUUUUUCCAACCCUUAUCUCUAUAAAUACCAGUCCUACCAUCCCAUUUUUUCAUCAAUCAUCUUGCAAAAUCUUUAAUCACAAAAUUUGCAAAACAAAAAGACAAAUGGGGUUUUCCAAGAAUUCAUCACUACCUCUUUUUUGUAUCUUGGGGUUAGCCCUAAUUCUCUCUUCCCAUGCACAAGACUCACCCCAAGACUAUGUCAAUGCUCACAACGCAGCUAGGGCACAGGUUGGUGUUGGCCCUGUGACAUGGGACGACAGAGUAGCUUCCUAUGCACAAAACUAUGCCAAUCAACGUAAAGGCGACUGCAAUCUUGUGCAUUCGGGAGGACCGUAUGGCGAGAACCUUGCAUGGAGCAGUGCUGGUCUUUCCGGCACAGAUGCUGUGAAACUGUGGGUGAAUGAGAAAGCUGAUUAUCACUACAAUUCUAAUACUUGUGCUGCAGGCAAGGUGUGUGGGCACUAUACUCAGGUGGUUUGGCGCAAAUCGGUUCGCAUUGGGUGUGCCAAGGUGACGUGCAACAAUAAUAAAGGAACUUUCAUAGGAUGCAACUAUGACCCCCCAGGCAACUUUGUUGGGGAGAAACCUUACUGAAUAUUAUAGAUAAAAAUAAAGCUUUGUAUGAUUAAGUGGCUUGCAACAAAUGCAUGGAUGAAUAAGGUUUCAAUUUGAUGGUUAUUAACUGACGAAUUUGAAUAACCAAAAAUAAAUGACAAUGAUUAAAUUUUAUGUUAAUUUUUGGAUACUUCCUAGGAUAUCACAUUUGAUAUAAUUUCCUUAUUUCAGCAUUUUCUUAAUUUUUGUUGGAUCUUUAAUUAGAUCAAAUGUUGUCUUGAAAAAACUUUUGUCAUUGAGGUGCUGUAAUUUUAAACUACAGUUGCUAUAGAA
This 27974-nucleotide long non-coding RNA is filed under the name Citrus sinensis (sweet orange). RNAcentral's name for it is "long non-coding RNA (CSIN_LNC003311)". Lineage: Eukaryota; Viridiplantae; Streptophyta; Magnoliopsida; Sapindales; Rutaceae. The record is from RNAcentral.